This 1860-nucleotide ribosomal RNA is filed under the name Triticum aestivum (bread wheat). RNAcentral describes it as "partial small subunit ribosomal RNA". The record is from RNAcentral. Lineage: Eukaryota; Viridiplantae; Streptophyta; Magnoliopsida; Poales; Poaceae.
AUGGCUACGAAUCCCGGCAUCCUCAGCGAGUGGCCAUGGAAGAGGCUCGGCAGCUUCAAGUAUCUUGUGCUGGCGCCAUGGGUGGCGCACGGGUGCCACCUCGCGGCGACCGAGGGGUGGAGGGAGCUGGACCUGGGCUACGUCGCCAUCCUCCCGUCGAUGCUGCUCCGGGCGCUCCACGACCAGGCAUGGAUCACCGUGUCCCGCCUCUACAACGCGCGCGGGAAGCGCCAGAUCGUCGACCGCGGCAUCGAGUUCGAUCAGGUCGACCGCGAGCGCAACUGGGACGAUCAGAUCAUCCUGAGCGCCAUCCUGCUGCUCCUGGGCGCGGUGUACAUGCCGGGCGGGCAGAACCUGCCAUGGUGGAGGACUGACGGCGCGGUGCUGCUGCUGCUGCUGCACGCCGGCCCGGUCGAGUUCCUCUACUACUGGUUCCACCGCGCGCUGCACCACCACUUCCUCUACACGCGCUACCAUUCGCACCACCACGCCUCCAUCGUCACCGAGCCAAUCACAUCCGUCAUCCAUCCCUUUGCCGAGCUACUGGCCUAUCAACUGCUGUUCUCGGUCCCAAUGAUCACCUGCGCACUGACUGGAACUGCCUCCAUAAUCACGUUCGAGAUCUAUGUGAUCUACAUUGACUUCAUGAACAACAUGGGCCACUGCAACUUCGAACUGGUGCCUAAUCGGCUCUUCGAAUGGAUCCCCCCUCUCAAGUAUCUCAUGUACACACCAUCGUUUCAUUCUCUUCACCACACUCAGUUCCGGACAAACUACUCUCUUUUCAUGCCGUUCUAUGACUACAUAUACAACACUAUGGACAAGUCGACGGACACGCUGUAUGAAAACUCACUCAAGGGCAAGGAGAAAGAAGUAGACGUGGUUCACCUUACGCAUCUCACCAGCCUGCAGUCCAUUUACCAUAUAAGGACCGGGUUCGCCCAGUACGCCUCCAAGCCGUACACUUCCAUGUGGCAACUGCGGAUCAUGUGGCCCGUGUCAUGGCUGUCCAUGGUACUGACGUGGGCAUACGGUUCUUGGUUCACAGUUGAGAGGAAUUCCAUGAAGAAGCUCCGGAUGCAGUCAUGGGCUAUACCAAGAUACAAUUUCCAUUAUGGACUGAACAAGGAGAAGGAGGCAAUCAAUGACCUGAUUGAGAAGGCAAUAUCUGAAGCUGGUAAGAAAGGAGCUAAAGUUGUUAGCCUUGGACUUCUGAAUCAGGCGCAUAGCCUCAAUGGAAGUGGAGAACUUUAUCUGCAGAAAUACCCAAAGUUGGGGGUAAGACUUGUGGAUGGCACUAGCCUAGCUGCUGCAGUGGUCAUCCAUACUAUUCCCCAGGGCACAAAUCAAGUUAUCCUUGCCGGAAAGAUUUCGAAGGUCGCUCGUAGUGUUGCUGCAGCACUCUGCAAGAAAAACGUCAAAGUCAUAGUGACAAACAAGCAAGAGUACCAUCUCCUUAAGCCCUGUAUACCUGAAAAUGAAGCCGGCAAUCUUGUAUUAUCAACAACUAGCACUGCAGAGGUGUGGCUCAUUGGAGAAGGUCUGGAUGCUGCUGAGCAGUUGAGGGCACCGCGAGGAACAAAGUUCAUCCCAUUCUCACAGUUCCCGCCAAAGAUGGAGCGCAAGGACUGCUGCACCUAUGCGAUGACUCCUGCAAUGGGUGUACCUGAAUCGAUGCAAAACGUGCACUCGUGCGAGAAUUGGCUGCCAAGGAGGGUCAUGAGCGCGUGGCGCGUCGCUGGAAUUGUUCAUGCAUUGGAGGGAUGGAGCGAGGAUGAGUGCGGAGACACAGUGCUGGACCUGGAGAAAGUGUGGUCUGCUGCAAUUAUGCAUGGGUUCCGCCCUGUUGCACAACUUUGA